UGAUUGUGCAUUUGUGCUCAAACAAAUUUACUCUAAAACAAAUUUAAUAUAUAUAUAAUUAUAUAUAUACCUCAGAAGUCAAGAAAAUCAACUCCACACACUUUAGAUAAACACUAUACCAAUUCAAUAUCAUUCACUGCCAACACUUUAGAAAAUCAACCUGGGUUGUUCAAUGAAAAAUUCAAUCAACCUGUGCAGUACUUAAGGUGGUCUUAUUCAACCGAAUACCAACUUCAGCUAUAGCACUUAAAUAGCUUAACUGCUUCUCUCUGUGAGCAGGUAUAUAGUAUCCUAAUUCGCUCAAAUGAAAUAGGUUGGUAUGCAACACAUUAUUCUUUUCAAAUGAUUUCCAAAUUUCAUAAUCCACAUUCAUUAAAAAUUUACUGCAUAAAUCUCUGAAUCCAGGUAAACAUUCUCGAAAUUUUACUACAAAUUAUCAAGUUGAUGAUUUAGGAGAAAAAGAUGAUUUGCAGAGAAGAAGAUAAAGUAGCCAUGAAAAAAUGAGAUCUAGGGUUGGGAAUUGGGAUUAAUCAAAUAGUGGGAUUUGCUUUGUUGUUGUUAUUAGAUCUAAUAAAGAAGAAGAAGAACAGAUUUGUUGUUGUUGUUG
This 607-nucleotide long non-coding RNA is filed under the name Aquilegia coerulea. RNAcentral's name for it is "long non-coding RNA (ACOE_LNC001592)". The record is from RNAcentral. Lineage: Eukaryota; Viridiplantae; Streptophyta; Magnoliopsida; Ranunculales; Ranunculaceae.